RNAcentral lists this ribosomal RNA (253 nucleotides) under uncultured bacterium. Its description in RNAcentral is "partial 16S ribosomal RNA". It matches the Rfam family "Bacterial small subunit ribosomal RNA", at positions 524 to 776 of the family's 1533-position model. The record is from RNAcentral.
UACGUAGGGCGCAAGCGUUGUCCGGAAUUAUUGGGCGUAAAGAGCUCGUAGGCGGCUUGUCACGUCGGGUGUGAAAGACCGGGGCUUAACCCCGGUUCUGCAUUCGAUACGGGCGGGCUGGAGUUCGGUAGGGGAGACUGGAAUUCCUGGUGUAGCGGUGAAAUGCGCAGAUAUCAGGAGGAACACCGGUGGCGAAGGCGGGUCUCUGGGCCGAAACUGACGCUGAGGAGCGAAAGCGUGGGGAGCGAACAGG